ACAACUGAAGUGAAGUCUGUUGAAAUGCACCAUGAAGCUUUGAGUGAAGCCCUUCCUGGGGACAACGUGGGCUUCAAUGUCAAAAAUGUGUCUGUCAAAGAUGUUCGCCGUGGCAAUGUUGCUGGUGACAGCAAAAAUGAUCCACCAAUGGAAGCAGCUGGCUUCACCGCUCAGGUGAUUAUCCUGAACCAUCCAGGCCAAAUCAGUGCUGGCUAUGCCCCUGUACUGGAUUGUCACACGGCUCACAUUGCAUGCAAGUUUGCUGAGCUGAAGGAAAAGAUUGAUCGCCGUUCUGGUAAGAAGCUGGAAGAUGGCCCUAAAUUCUUGAAGUCUGGUGAUGCUGCCAUCGUUGAUAUGGUUCCUGGCAAGCCCAUGUGUGUGGAGAGUUUCUCUGACUAUCCUCCUCUGGGUCGUUUUGCCGUCCGUGAUAUGAGGCAGACAGUUGCUGUGGGUGUCAUCAAAGCAGUGGACAAGAAGGCUGCCGGAGCUGGCAAGGUCACCAAGUCUGCCCAGAAAGCUCAGAAGGCUAAAUGAAUAUUAUCCCCAAUACCUGCCACCCCAGUCUUAAUCAGUGGUGGAAGAACGGUCUCAGAACUGUUUGUUUCAAUUGGCCAUUUAAGUUUAAUAGUAAAAGACUGGUUAAUGAUAACAAUGCAUCGGAAAACUUUCAGAA
Carlito syrichta (Philippine tarsier) is the source of this 673-nucleotide RNA transcript. It is a transcript of the gene named elongation factor 1-alpha 1 pseudogene, with no coding region annotated. The transcript has a single exon. The record is from RefSeq and is a predicted model, not a curated record. NCBI's taxonomy places the organism in Eukaryota, Metazoa, Chordata, Mammalia, Primates, Tarsiidae.